This 253-nucleotide ribosomal RNA is filed under the name uncultured bacterium. Its description in RNAcentral is "partial 16S ribosomal RNA". It matches the Rfam family "Bacterial small subunit ribosomal RNA", at positions 524 to 776 of the family's 1533-position model. The record is from RNAcentral.
UACGUAGGGGGCAAGCGUUGUCCGGAAUCAUUGGGCGUAAAGAGCGUGUAGGCGGUCCGUUAAGUCGGCUGUGAAAGUCCAAGGCUCAACCUUGGGAUGCCGGUCGAUACUGCCGGACUAGAGUUCGGAAGAGGCGAGUGGAAUUCCCGGUGUAGCGGUGAAAUGCGCAGAUAUCGGGAGGAACACCUAUGGCGAAGGCAGCUCGCUGGGCAUGAUCUGACGCUGAGGAGCGAAAGUGUGGGGAGCGAACAGG